Molecule: ribosomal RNA, 321 nt
Filed under: uncultured eukaryote
Lineage: Eukaryota
Description: partial 18S ribosomal RNA
Rfam family: Eukaryotic small subunit ribosomal RNA
Source: RNAcentral
CCCUUAGAUGUCCUGGGCCGCACGCGCGCUACACUGACAUGUUCAACAAGCCUCCUAGUUCGACAGGAUUUGGGAAAUCUUUGAACGCAUGUCGUGAUAGGGAUAGAUCAUUGCAAUUAUUGAUCUAGAACGAGGAAUUCCUAGUAAACGCGAGUCAUCAGCUCGCAUUGAUUACGUCCCUGCCCUUUGUACACACCGCCCGUCGCACCUACCGAUUGAAUGUUUCGGUGAAGAUUCCGGAUAGGACUUUUUUGAUUUAUUUCAAUUUUGUCUUAAAAGCUAUCUAAACCUCAACAUUUAGAGGAAGGUGAAGUCGUAACA